This 451-nucleotide ribosomal RNA is filed under the name uncultured bacterium. RNAcentral's name for it is "partial 16S ribosomal RNA". It matches the Rfam family "Bacterial small subunit ribosomal RNA", at positions 29 to 523 of the family's 1533-position model. The record is from RNAcentral.
AACGAACGCUGGCGGCAGGCUUAACACAUGCAAGCCGAACGGAUAUAGCAAUAUAUUAGUGGCGCACGGGUGAGUAACGCGUGGGAACAUGCCCUUCAGUACGGGAUAACAGCGGGAAACUGCUGCUAAUACCGUAUAUUCCCUCCGGGGGAAAGAUUUAUCGCUGAAGGAUUGGCCCGCGUAAGAUUAGGUAGUUGGUGGGGUAAUGGCCUACCAAGCCUACGAUCUUUAGCUGGUCUGAGAGGACGACCAGCCACACUGGAACUGAGACACGGUCCAGACUCCUACGGGAGGCAGCAGUGGGGAAUAUUGGACAAUGGGCGAAAGCCUGAUCCAGCCAUGCCGCGUGAAUGAUGAAGGCCUUAGGGUUGUAAAGUUCUUUUGUCAGGGAAGAUGAUGACGGUACCUGAAGAAUAAGCACCGGCUAACUUCGUGCCAGCCGCCGCGGUAA